CUCCGGUUGAUCCUGCCGGACCCGACUGCUAUCAGAGUGGGACUAAGCCAUGCGAGUCAACGUAGCAAUACGUGGCAUACGGCUCAGUAACACGUAGUCAACAUGCCCAGGGGACGAGGAUAACCUCGGGAAACUGAGGAUAAACCUCGAUAGGCCAUGAUUUCUGGAAUGAUUCUUGGCUCAAACCUAUAUGGCCCCUGGAUUGGACUGCGGCCGAUCAGGCUGUUGGUGAGGUAAUGGCCCACCAAACCUAUUACCGGUACGGGCUCUGAGAGGAGGAGCCCGGAGAUGGGCACUGAGACAAGGGCCCAGGCCCUAUGGGGCGCAGCAGGCGCGAAACCUCUGCAAUAGGCGAAAGCUUGACAGGGUUACUCUGAGUGAUUUCCGCUAAGGGAAUCUUUUGGCACCUCUAAAAAUGGUGCAGAAUAAGGGGUGGGCAAGUCUGGUGUCAGCCGCCGCGGUAAUACCAGCACCCCGAGUGGUCGGGACGAUUAUUGGGCCUAAAGCAUCCGUAGCCGGUCCUGCAAGUCUUCCGUUAAAUCCAGCUGCUCAACAGAUGGGCUGCGGGAGAUACUACAGGGCUAGGAGGCGGGAGAGGCAAGCGGUACUUUAUGGGUAGGGGUAAAAUCCGCUGAUCCAUAGAAGACCACCAGUGGCGAAGGCGGCUUGCCAGAACGCGCUCGACGGUGAGGGAUGAAAGCUGGGGGAGCAAACCGGAUUAGAUACCCGGGUAGUCCCAGCUGUAAACGAUGCAGACUCGGUGAUGGGUUGGCCUCGCGCCUGCCCAGUGCCGCAGGGAAGCCGUUAAGUCUGCCGCCUGGGGAGUACGGUCGCAAGACUGAAACUUAAAGGAAUUGGCGGGGGAGCA
Molecule: ribosomal RNA, 868 nt
Filed under: uncultured archaeon
Lineage: Archaea
Description: bacterial SSU rRNA
Rfam family: Archaeal small subunit ribosomal RNA
Source: RNAcentral